CCUACGGGGGGCAGCAGUAGGGAAUCUUUCACAAUGGGCGAAAGCCUGAUGGAGCAACGCCGCGUGCAGGAUGAAGGCCUUCGGGUUGUAAACUGCUUUUAUAAGCGAGAAAUAUGAUGGUAACUUAUGAAUAAGGAUCGGCUAACUACGUGCCAGCAGCCGCGGUCAUACGUAGGAUCCGAGCAUUAUCCGGAGUGACUGGGUGUAAAGAGUUGCGUAGGUGGCAUAAUAAGUAGCUAGUGAAAUCUGGUGGCUCAACCAUUCAGACUAUUAGCUAAACUGUUAAGCUCGAGACCGUUAGGGGUAACUGGAAUUUCUAGUGUAGGAGUGAAAUCCGUAGAUAUUAGAAAGAACACCAAUAGCGUAGGCAGGUUGCUGGGACGGUUCUGACACUAAGGCACGAAAGCGUAGGGAGCAAACGGGAUUAGAUACCCGAGUAGUC
This 442-nucleotide ribosomal RNA is filed under the name uncultured bacterium. RNAcentral describes it as "partial 16S ribosomal RNA". It matches the Rfam family "Bacterial small subunit ribosomal RNA", at positions 338 to 795 of the family's 1533-position model. The record is from RNAcentral.